RNAcentral lists this ribosomal RNA (349 nucleotides) under uncultured bacterium. RNAcentral describes it as "bacterial SSU rRNA". It matches the Rfam family "Bacterial small subunit ribosomal RNA", at positions 917 to 1269 of the family's 1533-position model. The record is from RNAcentral.
GGGCCCGCACAAGCGGUGGAGUAUGUGGUUUAAUUCGAUGAUACGCGAGGAACCUUACCAGGGCUUAAAUGUAAGUUGCAUAAGUUAGAGAUAGCUUUUUCUUCGGACUACUUACAAGGUGCUGCAUGGUUGUCGUCAGCUCGUGCCGUGAGGUGUCAGGUUAAGUCCUAUAACGAGCGCAACCCCUGUUGUUAGUUGCCAGCGAGUCAAGUCGGGAACUCUAACAAGACUGCCGGUGCAAACCGUGAGGAAGGUGGGGAUGACGUCAAAUCAUCACGGCCCUUACGUUCUGGCUACACACGUGCUACAAUGGUCGGUACAGAAAGCAGCCACUAUGCGAAUAGGAGCU